AGGAAGGAAGGAAGGAAGGAAGGAAGGAAGGAAGGAAGGAAGGAAGGAAGGAAGGAAGGAAGGAAGGAAAUUUUGGAUUUCAAGAACAAGGAAACUGCUAGCAGAGAGUAAUAACCACAGCCAGGACAUUGCAGGGAAGCCACAUCAUUGAUGCAUUAGGACACUGCCAGGUCUCUGUAGCAGAAAUUGAGAUAAGAGAAGUGGAAUUCCUUCAUCAAAGAGUUACUGGAGCAAAGCCAUCUUAAUUUUUCUCAUUAUUUAGGAAGGCAGAACGGCAGUGUGAUUGAAGAGAGGAAUGAGACUGUAACCUGGGUUAAUAGCAGGUUUCUUGUGAAGAAAAAUCAGAACAUUGAUGCAGACACAUACCUGAUGACCAGGACUGGUAUAUUCACCUGAGAAGUCAAGUGAACUUAAAACCCAUUGAACACAGUGCCAUACAAUUUGAAAAGGAAUAUCUGCAUGAAAAUAUGCAGUCUUAAAGGAACACAAAGAUUGGAAGUGGAAUAAUGUCAAUGAUGGUCUGUAAAAACCACUUUGUUUCUGAAGUGAACAUACUGAUGGUGAAAUAUGUCAGCAUGGCACGUGGAGAAAAUGAUGCUGUUCUGGUCACCUACACCAUUGCUGCACCCCUCAGGACACAGGUAGAACCUUUGUCUUGCUCCUGAGGUUCUGCCUCCCUCCAUGACUCUGGGAACUGCUGUUAAAGGGACUUCCUGCCCAUUUGCAUUUGGAGGCCCACAUAGUUGUCAGUGAAGUGAAAUUGCAGUGUUCACCUCCCUUUGAAUGCUCUGGCCCACACAUUGGGGAUUUUAGACCAGAGCAGAUACUUCUGAAAGAUUCUCUGCCUAAAAUUUCACACUUUGUGAAAAUUCUCCACAACAGGGAUUCAUAAUGAACAUUUUUGCCUAACUACCUAUUUUGUCUAACUGUCUAUUGGUGCCUGAUCAUUUGUCAAAAAUAACUAUUCAAUUCCCUCAAGUAAUGGAUUUCUACCUCUGAUGCUUCUUAUGCCUGUACCACUCCAAUAUUUCUCUAAUGCUCCACCUGCAAAUGAAUAUUGAGGGAGGAGAAAUGUGUACAAGGACUUGCAAGGUUACCCUCCCGUCAGCAUGAAACAUGAGUUUCCCUGAAUGUCAUGGGCACGGCAUCACCUUGUGCUUGGUAAGUGGGUGGUGGUAGGAAUGAAAGCUUAGGUAAUACCUAACUGCUUUAUUUUGGAUGAAAGCUGGGGGCAGCCCUGAGUAAUCUGCCACUACAUUCUCUGCAAAAGGAAGACCACAGUUACCAUUAAGAUUAGCAAUUUUCUAUUCAGUCCUGAGUGACUGCUCCCACAAUGCCAAUCAGAAAAAUGGAAAUUAUUUUCUUUUGUUAUAGAGACCACCCAAACAAGUUUUGGAAGGGAGUUAAAGAAGAAAAAUCCAGUUAAUGCUUUUUCUUUUUUGAGUAUUUUUGGUAGCUUUUAUCCUGAUUCAGCAACUAUGCUCUUCAUUGGCAGCCACAUUGAAUGGAAUUUGUCUAAACCUACUCACAGUUUUUCCUACAAAUCCUUUUUUCCCUUGUCACCCCUCAGCUUCACACUGAAUCUCUGACUUUUAUCUGACUGUUGACAAUGGAAAUACUCAUGUGUUUUGGUUUGUAUUGCCAUGGAUAUUCAUGCUGGAGCAAGUACUCAGGACUAUAAUCUGUACUGUGGAAAAUUGCCUCAGACUGUGCUGUAGGCAAGAAAGCUGUCUGGGCUUUCUCAUGCAGAGCACAUCCCAGAGCCCAGGUCUGCUGGAAGGCGCUGAGGAAGAUGCUUGGGUAACCAUAACCACACUCAUCAAGAUGCU
This is a long non-coding RNA of Passer domesticus (house sparrow), 1829 nucleotides long. RefSeq lists it as uncharacterized. NCBI's taxonomy places the organism in Eukaryota, Metazoa, Chordata, Aves, Passeriformes, Passeridae. The record is from RefSeq and is a predicted model, not a curated record. The transcript has 5 exons.